RNAcentral lists this transfer RNA (70 nucleotides) under Loxodonta africana (African savanna elephant). It matches the Rfam family "tRNA". Rfam says of the family: Transfer RNA (tRNA) molecules are approximately 80 nucleotides in length. Their secondary structure includes four short double-helical elements and three loops (D, anti-codon, and T loops). Lineage: Eukaryota; Metazoa; Chordata; Mammalia; Proboscidea; Elephantidae. The record is from Rfam by way of RNAcentral.
GCAGUGGUGGUUCAGUGGUGGAAUUCUCACCUACAUGCAGGAGACCCAGGUUCGAUUCCUGGCCAAUGCA